This 235-nucleotide ribosomal RNA is filed under the name Clostridioides difficile. RNAcentral's name for it is "partial 23S ribosomal RNA". It matches the Rfam family "Bacterial large subunit ribosomal RNA", at positions 1354 to 1583 of the family's 2925-position model. The record is from RNAcentral. Lineage: Bacteria; Bacillati; Bacillota; Clostridia; Peptostreptococcales; Peptostreptococcaceae.
CCAGGGGAAGGUUCGUCCGCCCUGGGUUAGUCGGGACCUAAGCUGAGGCCGAAAGGCGUAGGUGAUGGACAACAGGUUGAUAUUCCUGUACUACCGAUAACCGUUUGAGAGAUGGGAUGACACAGUAGGAUAAGCUAAGCACACUGUUGGUUAUGUGUGCCCAAGCAUUGAGGCAGUCAAAGUAGGCAAAUCCGCUUUGAUAAUGCUGGGAUGUGAUGGGGAGCGAAAUUUAGUU